UGCCAGCAGCCGCGGUAAUACGGAGGGUCCAAGCGCUAUCCGGAAGCAUUGGGUUUAAAGGGUGCGCAGGCGGUUUAAUAAGUCAGUGGUGAAAUCUCGGAGCUCAACUCCGAAACUGCCAUUGAUACUGUUAGACUUGAGUUCAGUUGGAGUAGGCGGAAUGUGUAGUGUAGCGGUGAAAUGCUUAGAUAUUACACAGAACACCGAUAGCGAAGGCAGCUUACUAAACUGAUACUGACGCUGAGGCACGAAAGCGUGGGGAGCGAACAGGAUUAGAUA
This 279-nucleotide ribosomal RNA is filed under the name uncultured bacterium. RNAcentral describes it as "partial 16S ribosomal RNA". It matches the Rfam family "Bacterial small subunit ribosomal RNA", at positions 506 to 784 of the family's 1533-position model. The record is from RNAcentral.